ACUCCAAAGCUAUCUCCCAAUAAACCCAUUCAUCUCCCCAACCCCUAGAACUCAAAGGCAUCAACACCGUACCUCGAAAGCUCUCAACCCCUUUCAUUGCUCUUUCCUUUCACCUUGAGAGUUCCAUCUAUGGCUAACCCUAAAUCCCCAAAUCCUCAAAUCAAAUCGCUGGCCUAGCCCAAACCCCCAAAGUCUCAAUCCUUUUCUGUUAUUCGAAGAAGAGAAGGCAUCAAAGAAGAACAAAGGAAAAAUCUAAAAGGCACGAUUAAAGGUGGAGCAAUUGAAGAAAGGGAAGAUGGAGUUAGUGAAGAUCUAGACCUUACUUAAGAACUUUGAAUUGUUGUCGAUGUUCUAGGAAUCUUUUGUUAUCAACAUUUGAAACUUACUCUAACUCAAUGUAAAACUUAUGUGAUUGGGUUAAAACAUUUUGGUUUUAUGGAUAUAUUAGCUUAUUGGACAAUAUAGAUUAUGAAGUAUUUUUUUCUUUUUA
This is a long non-coding RNA of Nicotiana tabacum (common tobacco), 490 nucleotides long. RefSeq lists it as uncharacterized. NCBI's taxonomy places the organism in Eukaryota, Viridiplantae, Streptophyta, Magnoliopsida, Solanales, Solanaceae. The record is from RefSeq and is a predicted model, not a curated record.